GAGUUUGAUCGUGGCUCAGAUUGAACGCUGGCGGCAUGCCUUACACAUGCAAGUCGAACGGCAGCAUGAUCUAGCUUGCUAGAUUGAUGGCGAGUGGCGAACGGGUGAGUAAUACAUCGGAACGUGCCCUGUAGUGGGGAUAACUAGUCGAAAGAUUAGCUAAUACCGCAUACGACCUGAGGGUGAAAGUGGGGGACCGCAAGGCCUCAUGCUAUAGGAGCGGCCGAUGUCUGAUUAGCUAGUUGGUGGGGUAAAGGCCCACCAAGGCGACGAUCAGUAGCUGGUCUGAGAGGACGAUCAGCCACACUGGGACUGAGACACGGCCCAGACUCCUACGGGAGGCAGCAGUGGGAAUUUUGGACAAUGGGCGAAAGCCUGACCCAGCAAUGCCGCGUGUGUGAAGAAGGCCUCGGUUGU
RNAcentral lists this ribosomal RNA (417 nucleotides) under uncultured microorganism. RNAcentral describes it as "bacterial SSU rRNA". It matches the Rfam family "Bacterial small subunit ribosomal RNA", at positions 9 to 426 of the family's 1533-position model. The record is from RNAcentral.